GAUGAACGCUGGCGGCGUGCCUAAUACAUGCAAGUCGAGCGAACGGACGAGAAGCUUGCUUCUCUGAUGUUAGCGGCGGACGGGUGAGUAACACGUGGAUAACCUACCUAUAAGACUGGGAUAACUUCGGGAAACCGGAGCUAAUACCGGAUAAUAUUAUGAACCGCAUGGUUCAAUAGUGAAAGACGGUUUUGCUGUCACUUAUAGAUGGAUCCGCGCUGCAUUAGCUAGUUGGUAAGGUAACGGCUUACCAAGGCAACGAUGCAUAGCCGACCUGAGAGGGUGAUCGGCCACACUGGAACUGAGACACGGUCCAGACUCCUACGGGAGGCAGCAGUAGGGAAUCUUCCGCAAUGGGCGAAAGCCUGACGGAGCAACGCCGCGUGAGUGAUGAAGGUCUUCGGAUCGUAAAACUCUGUUAUUAGGGAAGAACAUAUGUGUAAGUAACUGUGCACAUCUUGACGGUACCUAAUCAGAAAGCCACGGCUAACUACGUG
RNAcentral lists this ribosomal RNA (497 nucleotides) under uncultured bacterium. Its description in RNAcentral is "partial 16S ribosomal RNA". It matches the Rfam family "Bacterial small subunit ribosomal RNA", at positions 28 to 507 of the family's 1533-position model. The record is from RNAcentral.